RNAcentral lists this ribosomal RNA (490 nucleotides) under uncultured bacterium. RNAcentral describes it as "partial 16S ribosomal RNA". It matches the Rfam family "Bacterial small subunit ribosomal RNA", at positions 29 to 506 of the family's 1533-position model. The record is from RNAcentral.
AGUGAACGCUGGCGGUAGGCCUAACACAUGCAAGUCGAACGGCAGCACAGUAAGAGCUUGCUCUUACGGGUGGCGAGUGGCGGACGGGUGAGGAAUACAUCGGAAUCUACUUUUCGUUGGGGAUAACGUAGGGAAACUUUCCCUUAUUACGCAUUCGACCUACGGGUUAAAACAGGGGAUUUUCGGACCUUUCCCGGUUUAAUUAGCCGAUUUCGGAUUAGCUAGUUGGCGGGGUAAAGGCCCACCAAGGCGACGAUCCGUAGCUGGUCUGAGAGGAUGAUCAGCCACACUGGAACUGAGACACGGUCCAGACUCCUACGGGAGGCAGCAGUGGGGAAUAUUGGACAAUGGGCGCAAGCCUGAUCCAGCCAUACCGCGUGGGUGAAGAAGGCCUUCGGGUUGUAAAGCCCUUUUGUUGGGAAAGAAAAGCAGCAGGUUAAUACCCCGCUGUUCUGACGGUACCCAAAGAAUAAGCACCGGCUAACUUCGU